RNAcentral lists this ribosomal RNA (484 nucleotides) under uncultured bacterium. RNAcentral describes it as "partial 16S ribosomal RNA". It matches the Rfam family "Bacterial small subunit ribosomal RNA", at positions 30 to 507 of the family's 1533-position model. The record is from RNAcentral.
AUUGAACGCUGGCGGCAGGCCUAACACAUGCAAGUCGAGCGGAUGAAGGGAGCUUGCUCCUGGAUUCAGCGGCGGACGGGUGAGUAAUGCCUAGGAAUCUGCCUGGUAGGGGGGUAUAACGUCCGGAAACGGGCGCUAAUACCGCAUACGUCCUGAGGGAGAAAGAGGGGGAGGUUCGGACCUCACGCUAUCAGAGGAGCGGAGGUCGGAUUAGCUAGUUGGUGGGGUAAAGGCCUACCAAGGCGACGAUCCGUAACUGGUCUGAGAGGAUGAUCAGUCACCCUGGAACUGAGACACGGUCCAGACUCCUGCGGGACGCAGCAGUGGGGAAUAUUGGGCAGAGGGCGAAAGCCUUAUCCAGCCGUGCCGCGUGUGUGAAGAAGGUCUUCGGAUUGUAAAGCACUCUAAGUUGUGAGGAAGCGCAGUAAGUUAAUACCUUGCUGUUUUGACGUUACCAACAGAAUAAGCACCGGCUAACUUCGUG